RNAcentral lists this ribosomal RNA (598 nucleotides) under Sus sp. RNAcentral describes it as "SSU rRNA". It matches the Rfam family "Eukaryotic small subunit ribosomal RNA", at positions 10 to 618 of the family's 1831-position model. Lineage: Eukaryota; Metazoa; Chordata; Mammalia; Artiodactyla; Suidae. The record is from RNAcentral.
GAUCCUGCCAGUAGUCAUACGCUCGUCUCAAAGAUUAAGCCAUGCAUGUGUAAGUAUAAAUAAUUUUACUUUGAAACUGCGAAUGGCUCAUUAUAUCAGUUAUAGUUUAUUAGAAAUAUUUUACUACUUGGAUAACCGUAGUAAUUCUAGGGCUAAUACAUGAGUAAAACCUCAACUUCGGAAGAGGUGUGUUUAUUAGUAUGAAAACCAUAUAUCUUCGGAUAUAAUAGUGAGUAAUAAUAACCUUUCAUAUCGUAUGUCGUAAGAUAACGAUAGUUCUUUCAAGUUUCUGCCCUAUCAGCUUUCGAUGGUAGUAUAUGGGACUACCAUGGCAGUAACGGGUAACGAAGAAUUUGGGUUCGAUUUCGGAGAGGGAGCCUGAGAGAUGGCUACCACAUCCAAGGAAGGCAGCAGGCGCGUAAAUUACCCAAUCCUGACAUAGGGAGGUAGUGACAAUAAAUCACAAUGCGGAACUUUUAGUUUUGCAAUUGGAUUGAGAACAAUGUACAAAUGUUAUCGAUAAACAAUUGGAGGGCAAGUCUGGUGCCAGCAGCCGCGGUAAUUCCAGCUCCAAUAGCGUAUAUUAACGUUGUUGCAG